Prunus avium (sweet cherry) is the source of this 244-nucleotide non-coding RNA. Lineage: Eukaryota; Viridiplantae; Streptophyta; Magnoliopsida; Rosales; Rosaceae. The record is from RefSeq and is a predicted model, not a curated record.
UAUGACACUCCAAACAUCCAAACGGAAGUUAAAGAGGCUCCGUACUCCAUUGCCCAUUGUAGUAAAGCUUCAAAGACCCGUGAAAUCCAAACUCGGUGCCAGAGCUCUCCUACUUCUCGCUCUUCGCUCAUUAAGAAAUCAAAGCUAUUUUCAUCGGAUUUUGGAUAAAACUUUUGAAGUUGUUUUGGACUGAAAACCAGUUUACUUACUGCCAAACUACUGAAAGCCUGGAAGAUGCUAGUUU